GACGAACGCUGGCGGCGUGCCUAAUACCUGCAAGUCGAACGCUUCUUUCCUCCCGAGUGCUUGCACUCAAUUGGAAAGAGGAGUGGCGGACGGGUGAGUAACACGUGGGUAACCUACCCAUCAGAGGGGGAUAACACUUGGCAACAGGUGCUAAUACCGCAUAACAGUUUAUUCCGCAUGGCAUCAGAGUUAAAGGCGCUUUCGUGUGUCGCUGAUGGCUGGACCCGCGGUGCAUUAGCUAGUUGGUGAGGUAACGGCUCACCAAGGCCACGAUGCAUAGCCGACCUGAGAGGGUGAUCGGCCACACUGGGACUGAGACACGGCCCAGACUCCUACGGGAGGCAGCAGUAGGGAAUCUUCGGCAAUGGACGAAAGUCUGACCGAGCAACGCCGCGUGAGUGAAGAAGGUUUUCGGAUCGUAAAACUCUGUUGUUAGAGAAGAACAAGGACGUUAGUAACUGAACGUCCCCUGACGGUAUCUAACCAGAAAGCCACGGCUAACUACGUG
This 508-nucleotide ribosomal RNA is filed under the name uncultured bacterium. RNAcentral's name for it is "partial 16S ribosomal RNA". It matches the Rfam family "Bacterial small subunit ribosomal RNA", at positions 28 to 507 of the family's 1533-position model. The record is from RNAcentral.